Molecule: long non-coding RNA, 248 nt
Organism: Stegastes partitus (bicolor damselfish)
Lineage: Eukaryota; Metazoa; Chordata; Actinopteri; Pomacentridae
Exons: 2
Source: RefSeq, a predicted model, not a curated record
GUAUUAUUUUAAUGAUAACUUAAUGAUUCUGAUGAGGACACCAAAAGGUACUUUAUGGUGAUAUGAAACUCUCUUUGUAUAACAUUUGAAGACUGCAUGCAUGGUAGAGCAUCACUAAGACUGCUAAGGCUGAAAUUUAAAAGCAUCAGAUUUGGAAAAUGUUUUUCAUGUCAAUAACUUAUUGACUGUUGAAACGCACUAUUUCUAUAACAAAACGUGUAUAUAACGAACGGUGAGGAUUAAGAACG